This 1429-nucleotide ribosomal RNA is filed under the name Humerana sp. USNM583186. RNAcentral describes it as "partial 16S ribosomal RNA". It matches the Rfam family "Bacterial large subunit ribosomal RNA", at positions 365 to 2565 of the family's 2925-position model. The record is from RNAcentral. Lineage: Eukaryota; Metazoa; Chordata; Amphibia; Anura; Ranidae.
UAAAAGCCCCUUGCUUACACCGAGGCCAUGUCUGUUGUACCCGGACCAUUUUGAGCCUUAAAUCUAGCCUGCACAAACCUUAUGCCCCCACAAUUAAGUAUUCUAAAAAUAAAACAUUUUAAAAUCUCAGUAGAGGAGAUCGAAAAGCUAUUUAGCGCUUCAGACAAAGUACCGAAAGGGAAAGUUGAAAUAGAAGUGAAAUAAAACUAAAGCUCUAUACAGCAGAGACUUUAUCUCGUACCUUUUGCAUCAUGGUCUAGCCAGUCUCCUCAAGCAAAAAGAAACUUAAGUUUGACAUCCCGAAACUAAGCGAGCUACUUCAAAACAGCCUCAUGGGCCAACCCAUCUCUGUUGCAAAAGAGUGGGAAGAUUUUCAAGUAGAGGUGACAAGCCUACCGAGCUUAGAGAUAGCUGGUUGUUCAGGAAAAGAGUUUUAGCUCCACCUUAAGUCAUAUAAUGACACUUAACCAAACCCCUUGACUUAAGAGCCAUUCAAAUAAGGCACAGCUUAUUUGAAACAGGGUACAACCUUUAAUACCGGGUAAACAAUAAUAGACUAAACAAAGUUGACUUAAAAGCAGCCAUCUUUCUAAAAGCGUCAUAGCUUAACUUCAUUGCACCUACAAUUCCCCUAAACUUUAUGAACCCUUCACCACUACUGAACUAUUUUAUAAUAAUAUAAAAAAUAUUAUGCUAGAACUAGUAACAAGAAAACGCCUUUCUCCUUAAUGUAAGCAUAAACCAAAACGGACCCACCAUUGGUAAUUAACGUAAAUGUUCUUAUUGUAAUAACAUACAACUAGAAAACCUUACAGUAAACAACGUUAACCUAACACCAGAGCAUUACAGGAAAGAUUAAAAGAGAAAGAAGGAACUCGGCAAACUUUUAGCCCCGCCUGUUUACCAAAAACAUCGCCUCUUGCUAAACAUAAGAGGUCCAGCCUGCCCAGUGACAUAGUUUAACGGCCGCGGUAUCCUAACCGUGCGAAGGUAGCAUAAUCACUUGUUCUCUAAAUAGGGACUAGUAUCAACGGCAUCACGAGGGUUACACUGUCUCCUUUCUCCAAUCAGUGAAACUGAUCUCCCCGUGAAGAAGCGGGGAUAAGAAUAUAAGACGAGAAGACCCCAUGGAGCUUCAAGCACCGUAUUCACCCGUCUCUUACAACAACAUAGUUUUUAAGCCUGCGUACUAGCUUUUGGCUGGGGGGACCGCGGAGUACAAUCUAACCUCCGCAACAAAUGGGCUUCGCCCUUAUCUACGAACCACAACUCUAAGAACCAAUAAACUGAUGUACUUUGACCCGACCUAUCGAUCAACGAACCAAGUUACCCUGGGGAUAACAGCGCUAUCUACUUCAAGAGCUCAUAUCGACAAGUAGGUUUACGACCUCGAUGUUGGAUCAGGGUAUCCCAGUGGUGCAGCCGCUAC